RNAcentral lists this ribosomal RNA (432 nucleotides) under uncultured bacterium. RNAcentral describes it as "partial 16S ribosomal RNA". It matches the Rfam family "Bacterial small subunit ribosomal RNA", at positions 355 to 776 of the family's 1533-position model. The record is from RNAcentral.
UGGGGAAUAUUGCACAAUGGGCGCAAGCCUGAUGCAGCCAUGCCGCGUGUGUGAAGAAGGCCUUCGGGUUGUAAAGCACUUUCAGCGAGGAGGAAGGUGGUGAACUUAAUACGUUCAUCAAUUGACGUUACUCGCAGAAGAAGCACCGGCUAACUCCGUGCCAGCAGCCGCGGUAAUACGGAGGGUGCAAGCGUUAAUCGGAAUUACUGGGCGUAAAGCGCACGCAGGCGGUUUGUUAAGUCAGAUGUGAAAUCCCCGGGCUCAACCUGGGAACUGCAUUUGAAACUGGCAAGCUAGAAGUCUCGUAGAGGGGGUAGAAUUCCAGGUGGUAGCGGUGAAAUGCGUAGAGAUCUGGAAGGAAUACCGGUGGCGAAGGCAGCCCCCUGGACGAAGACUGACCGCUCAGGUGCGAAAGCGUGGGGAGCAAACAGG